RNAcentral lists this ribosomal RNA (443 nucleotides) under uncultured bacterium. RNAcentral describes it as "partial 16S ribosomal RNA". It matches the Rfam family "Bacterial small subunit ribosomal RNA", at positions 338 to 795 of the family's 1533-position model. The record is from RNAcentral.
CCUACGGGAGACUGCAGUGGGGAAUAUUGGGCAAUGGGCGCAAGCCUGACCCAGCAACGCCGCGUGAAGGAAGAAGGCUUUCGGGUUGUAAACUUCUUUUCUCAGGGACGAAGCAAGUGACGGUACCUGAGGAAUAAGCCACGGCUAACUACGUGCCAGCAGCCGCGGUAAUACGUAGGGGGCAAGCGUUAUCCGGAUUUACUGGGUGUAAAGGGCGUGUAGGCGGGUAAGCAAGUCAGAGGUGAAAACCAUGGGCUCAACCUGUGAACUGCAUUUGAAACUGCUUUUCUUGAGUACUGGAGAGGAAGACGGAAUUCCUGGUGUAGCGGUGAAAUGCGUAGAUAUUUGGAGGAACACCAGUGGCGAAGGCGGUCUGCUGGACAGGAAUUGACGCUGAGGCGCGAAAGCGUGGGGAGCAAACAGGAUUAGAUACCCGAGUAGUC